AACCCGUGAUGCGAACAUAUAUUCAUCAGGUCCUUGAAUCUCUCCCAAAAAUCUUGGAAUGUCUUGUCAUCUUUCUGCAUGAACUAACUAAUAUGCUUCUGCGGGU
Malania oleifera is the source of this 106-nucleotide small nucleolar RNA. NCBI's taxonomy places the organism in Eukaryota, Viridiplantae, Streptophyta, Magnoliopsida, Santalales, Ximeniaceae. The record is from RefSeq and is a predicted model, not a curated record.